AUUGAACGCUGGCGGCAGGCUUAACACAUGCAAGUCGAGCGGGGUGAUGGUGCUUGCACUAUCACUUAGCGGCGGACGGGUGAGGAAUGCUUAGGAAUCUGCCUAUUAGUGGGGGACAACAUCUCGAAAGGGAUGCUAAUACCGCAUACGUCCUACGGGAGAAAGCAGGGGAUCACUUGUGACCUUGCGCUAAUAGAUGAGCCUAAGUCGGAUUAGCUAGUUGGUGGGGUAAAGGCCUACCAAGGCGACGAUCUGUAGCGGGUCUGAGAGGAUGAUCCGCGACACUGGGACUGAGACACGGCCCAGACUCCUACGGGAGGCAGCAGUGGGGAAUAUUGGACAAUGGGGGGAACCCUGAUCCAGCCAUGCCGCGUGUGUGAAGAAGGCCUUAUGGUUGUAAAGCACUUUAAGCGAGGAGGAGGCUCUUUUGGUUAAUACCCAAGAUGAGUGGACGUUACUCGCAGAAUAAGCACCGGCUAACUCUGUGCCAGCCGCCGCAGUAA
RNAcentral lists this ribosomal RNA (503 nucleotides) under uncultured bacterium. Its description in RNAcentral is "partial 16S ribosomal RNA". It matches the Rfam family "Bacterial small subunit ribosomal RNA", at positions 30 to 523 of the family's 1533-position model. The record is from RNAcentral.